Molecule: non-coding RNA, 75 nt
Organism: Haemonchus placei
Lineage: Eukaryota; Metazoa; Nematoda; Chromadorea; Rhabditida; Trichostrongylidae
Source: Rfam
GGCCCAAAUUCCAAGUAGAGUAGAUUAGUAGUGUCAGCUGACUCUAUUUAAUUAUUCUAUUUCAAGUUUGUGCCC